UACGGAGGGCGCAAGCGUUGUUCGGAAUCACUGGGCGUAAAGCGCGUGUCGGCGGCUUGGCAAGUCGGGUGUGAAAUCCCGAGGCUCAACCUCGGAACUGCACUCGAAACUGCCUGGCUCGAGUCCCGGAGAGGGUGGCGGAAUUCCCGGUGUAGGGGUGAAAUCCGUAGAUAUCGGGAGGCACACCAGUGGCGAAGGCGGCCACCUGGACGGUGACUGCCGCUGAGACGCGAAAGCGUGGGGAGCAAAUAGG
RNAcentral lists this ribosomal RNA (253 nucleotides) under uncultured bacterium. RNAcentral's name for it is "partial 16S ribosomal RNA". It matches the Rfam family "Bacterial small subunit ribosomal RNA", at positions 524 to 776 of the family's 1533-position model. The record is from RNAcentral.